UACGUAGGGUGCAAGCGUUGUCCGGAUUUAUUGGGCGUAAGAGCUCGUAGGCGGUCUGUCGCGUCGGAUGUGAAAACCCAGGGCUCAACCCUGGGCCUGCAUUCGAUACGGGCAGACUAGAGUACGGCAGGGGAGACUGGAAUUCCUGGUGUAGCGGUGAAAUGCGCAGAUAUCAGGAGGAACACCGGUGGCGAAGGCGGGUCUCUGGGCCGUAACUGACGCUGAGGAGCGAAAGCGUGGGGAGCGAACAGG
RNAcentral lists this ribosomal RNA (252 nucleotides) under uncultured bacterium. Its description in RNAcentral is "partial 16S ribosomal RNA". It matches the Rfam family "Bacterial small subunit ribosomal RNA", at positions 524 to 776 of the family's 1533-position model. The record is from RNAcentral.